AAGAGUUUAAACCACAUUUUUAAACAUUUCAGCACCCAAGGACACAUAUUUAACAAGGCAUUUCGUAAGCAUUGUGGGCAUUUCCAGGGGUAGUUUUAUGACCCUGGUGGUAGUUUGACCCUUCUUCUGUAUUAUGACCCUAAAGAAUCAUGCAUUAGAUUUCCGCAGCCCAAAACAAGAAGAAGAACAUGUAUUAGAACUCAACUCAAGACACUUCUCCACCUGAAAUUGACCUCUCAUUUGGCUACUAUUCACUUUUAUCUUUUGUAGGAACAGCAAUUAGUGGGGUAUUUUUUUCUACACUGUUUUUGUUGUUGUUGUUGUUGCCCUUGAGCUGCUUCCUUUCCUGUAAAAAAAAAAAAAAAAUGACCUCCCUUUUAGCCUUUGAAAAUAGUUGAUGUGAGGGAUGGAAGCGUUUGACAAUACCGACCUUUGUGUCUCAUCAACUUAGGAAAGAAAAUAAGACGUGGAUUAAAAAAAACAGUUGCGGAAAGUGAAAAUCAUGACUAACGGAAACUAUAUUAAGCGUCACUGAUUAAACUUCCUAUUUCAAUGUUACCUUUCUCAGCUCAGGUGCUCAGAACGACUUAGAUUUAUCGUGUUUUCAAAUACAAUAAUAGUGAAAAAAAGGAAAAAUGAAAGAAAGAAAAAGAAAAGAGGUUCACAAGUGCUAUUUGAUGGAAAAAAAGGAAAGUAAAAUGGAAAAAAAAAAAAUUCAGUUUGUCGACAGAGGUGUUAUUUCUGACGUUAAAAAAAAUAAAUAAAUAAAAACGAAAGAAAGAAAAAAAUAGAUGGUUGACAGAGGUGUUAUUUCUGACGUUAAAAAAAAAAAAAAAAACGAAAGAAAGAAAAAAAUAGAUGGUUGACGGAGGUGUUAUUUCUGACGUUAAAAAAAAUAAAUAAAAUAAAAAUAAAAACGAAAGAAAGAAAAAAAUAGAUGGUUGACAGAGGUGUUAUUUCUGACGUAAAAAAAAAAAAAUAAAUAAAAUAAAAAUGAAAGAAAGAAAAAAAUAGAUGGUUGACAGAGGUGUUAUUUCUGACAUUAAAAAAAAAAUUAAAAACGAAAGAAAGAAAAAAAUAGAUGGUUGACGGAGGUGUUAUUUCUGACAUUAAAAAAAAAAAUAAAAA
Eriocheir sinensis (Chinese mitten crab) is the source of this 1128-nucleotide long non-coding RNA. RefSeq lists it as uncharacterized. The transcript is spliced from 2 exons. The record is from RefSeq and is a predicted model, not a curated record. NCBI's taxonomy places the organism in Eukaryota, Metazoa, Arthropoda, Malacostraca, Decapoda, Varunidae.